RNAcentral lists this ribosomal RNA (1695 nucleotides) under Osteoglossum bicirrhosum (silver arawana). RNAcentral's name for it is "16S ribosomal RNA". The stretch from base 95 to 1618 matches the Rfam family "Bacterial large subunit ribosomal RNA". The record is from RNAcentral. Lineage: Eukaryota; Metazoa; Chordata; Actinopteri; Osteoglossiformes; Osteoglossidae.
GCUGCCAAGCUAGCCAAUCCAACCCCUUUAAACAAACAACAAUAUAUACAGGCCAAUAACCCUAAACCUUCAAACUAAACCAUUUUUCCUCCCUAGUAUUGGAGAAAGAAAAGGAUACUCUUGAGCAAUAGAAAAAGUACCGCAAGGGAACGCUGAAAAAGAAAUGAAACAAACCAUUCAAGCACAAAAAAGCAGAGAUUAACACUCGUACCUUUUGCAUCAUGAUCUAGCUAGCAUAAAUCAGGCAAAGAGGCCUUCAGUCUGAGCCCCCGAAACUAGAUGAGCUACUUCAAGACAGCCUACACAGGGCAAACCCGUCUCUGUGGCAAAAGAGUGGGAAGAUCUUCAAGUAGAGGUGACAAACCUAACGAAUCUAGUGAUAGCUGGUUGCUUGAAAAAUGAAUUUUAGUUCAGCCAUAUAGCCUGCUCUAACCAAACUUACCCUAAAAAGAAAACGAGUAGCUAUAAAAGUUAGUCAAUGGAGGUACAGCUCCCUUGAAAAAGAACACAACCUUUACAGAAGGGUAAAGAUCAUAUUUCUUAAGGUACUCUGUUACAGUGGGCCUAAAAGCAGCCAUCUAAUUAAAAAGCGUUAAAGCUUAAACAGAAAACAAACCUAUCAUCCCGACAAUUAAUCUCACCCCUCCAACAUUAUCAAGCUAUUCUAUACUUAUAUAGAAGAAACAAUGCUAGAAUAAGUAACAAGAAGAUAUAAUCUUCUCUCAGCACAUGUGUAAGUCAGAUCGGACCACCCACUGACAAUUAGAAUGAACCCAACCAAAGAGGGCAUUACAGACCAAAAACUAUCCUAGAAAAUCCUGUAUUACAAUCAUUAAUCCUACACCGGUGUGCUAUUCAAAAGAAAGACUAAAUGAGGAAAGAAGGAACUCGGCAAACCAAGGUCUCGCCUGUUUACCAAAAACAUGGCCUCUUGCAAACCCCCAAAAAUAAGAGGUCCAACCUGCCCAGUGACUUCAAAAAGUUAAACGGCCGCGGUAUUUUAACCGUGCUAAGGUAGCGUAAUCACUUGUCUUUUAAAUGAAGACCCGUAUGAAAGGUACCACGAAGACCUUACUGUCUCCUUCCUCAAGUCAGUGAAAUUGAUCUAUUCGUGCAGAAGCGAAUAUCACAACAUAAGACGAGAAGACCCUGUGGAGCUUAAGAUGUUUAUUUACUUGCGCUUAGUAAAAUUAUCAACUAAUUUUAAAGCCUAGCAACCCUAACAUACAACAUCUUCGGUUGGGGCGACCAUGGAGGACAAAAAAGCCUCCAAGAAGAAACUCGGGGAAUAGUCAAACAAUCCCUAAGAACCAAGAACCACAAUUCCAAGUAACAGAAAAUUCUGACUAACAAUGAUCCGAACUUUUCGAUCAACGAACCAAGUUACCCCAGGGAUAACAGCGCAAUCCUUUCCAAGAGCCCAUAUCGCCGAAAGGGUUUACGACCUCGAUGUUGGAUCAGGACAUCCUAAUGGCGAAAAUUCUAUUAAGGGUUCGUUUGUUCAACGAUUAAAGUCCUACGUGAUCUGAGUUCAGACCGGAGCAAUCCAGGUCGGUUUCUAUCUAUGUAGCUACUCUUCCUAGUACGAAAGGACCGGAAGAAGUGAAGCCAAUAUUCUAAAUACGCUUCAUUCCUACUUAAUGAAAACAACUAAAAUAAUAAAGGAAAGCACCUACUAACCCAGAGACAAUGGUA